AGUGAACGCUGGCGGUAGGCCUAACACGUGCAAGUCGAACGGCAGCACAGUAAGAGCUUGCUCUUACGGGUGGCGAGUGGCGGACGGGUAAGGAAUACAUCGGAAUCUACUUUUUCGUGGGGGAUAACGUAGGGAAACUUACGCUAAUACCGCAUACGACCUACGGGUGAAAGCAGGGGAUCUUCGGACCUUGCGCGAUUGAAUGAGCCGAUGUCGGAUUAGCUAGUUGGCGGGGUAAAGGCCCACCAAGGCGACGAUCCGUAGCUGGUCUGAGAGGAUGAUCAGCCACACUGGAACUGAGACACGGUCCAGACUCCUACGGGAGGCAGCAGUGGGGAAUAUUGGACAAAGGGCGCAAGCCUGAUCCAGCCAUACCGCGUGGGUGAAGAAGGCCUUCGGGUUGUAAAGCCCUUUUGUUGGGAAAGAAAAGCAGCAGGUUAAUACCCCGCUGUUCUGACGGUACCCAAAGAAUAAGCACCGGCUAACUUCGUG
Molecule: ribosomal RNA, 492 nt
Filed under: uncultured bacterium
Lineage: Bacteria
Description: partial 16S ribosomal RNA
Rfam family: Bacterial small subunit ribosomal RNA
Source: RNAcentral